Molecule: long non-coding RNA, 777 nt
Filed under: Homo sapiens (human)
Lineage: Eukaryota; Metazoa; Chordata; Mammalia; Primates; Hominidae
Description: non-protein coding TBX2-AS1:9
Source: RNAcentral
CGGCUGCCUGCGCCGGACUGGAGAGCGCGGAGGGCCGACCUGACCCGCCGAAAGGGCCUGAGGCGAGGGGAGCCCGGGUCCCGGGGCCUUGGGGAAGGACCCGCAGCCGCACGCCGGCCCCAAGUGCAAAGCAUUGACACGACCCCGAGCGGAGAGGGGGCGCCCUCCUUCUCCCGCGCCCAGAGGCCCGGCCGCUCUGGCCCGAGCCCCAGCCUGGCCUCCGACCCAGCUCCGGGUCGUGGCGCCGCCUGGGGGUCCCUGCGCCCCGGAAAGAGACAGCAGGCACUGGAAAGCGAGGCCGGUGGGCGGGCGAGUCGGGAGGCUCGGGCGGCCGAGGUCCGGGAGCGGAUCCCAGGUGGCGGGAGCUGUUGCCACGCUGGCUCCCACCGGCCUCUUUCCAGAUCAUGAAGGUAUUUUUCCUUCAUCAAAUUGAGAGGAAGUCCGUAGUAAAGCUGCCCGUUGACCAGGUAGUGCCGAGAGAAUCGGUGCCCUGGCAGGAGGGACUGGCUUAUGCCACCCUGUGCAGGAUCGUCUUCUCAGCUUACAGAGCCUAGUGUGAUUCAACAACCCUCCAUCUCUGCCCCCAACAUGCCCAACUGAUCUGGUGGAGGGAACUGAAGAUGAAGGCCUCUCAGGCACCAUGGAUGGGAUGGGUGUGUGUGAAGGGGGCAGGGUCCCCAGGAGCUGCCCCAGGUCUGGCUGGACAGUUGCACGGGAAGUCCUGUUUGUGAACUCAACGUUUCCACGGCUUUUCCAUUAAACUUUACCCCAAAUCAC